GGAAAACAAACAUUGUUUUGAUUGUAAGCUCAAUGAUAUAAUGUGGUUUGUUUUGGUUAAUAUAAGACUGUGAUUGGAGAUUUUCUUACUAAAAAUGUACUGUUGUUGUGUACCGGGAUGUUCACAUCCAACGUUAUCUGUCAAACUUGGCAUUCCUUUCCACAAUUUUCCAAAAGAUCGGGAACAAAGACGACGGUGGCUUGUCAACAUAAGAAAUCAGAACUUUCCUGUCAACAUGAGUGCACAAAAACUAAAGAACUAUCACGUAUGUGGCAAACAUUUUAAACCAAGUGACUACGAAUGUCAAACAAAGCAUUUAGUGGCACCUUAUCUAGGCUAUUUAAGAAAAGAAAUAUUUUGAAAAAGACAGCUGUUCCUACUCAAUAUUCUUUCGAAGAAUGUCAAACAAGUAAAGGUAAACCAAAGUCUACUUCUGCAACAAGUAGGCUUACAUGUACUAUUACUAGUAAAUGUGCCUAUGAGUCAACACCUCAAAUUCAAUAUGUGAGAAGUGCCUAUUUAAAGAGGGAAAAAUUAAGAAAAUGAACAGAAGAAAAAACUGUUGUAGAUCCAGAACAGAGUAAGCCAUUACCAUUACCCCCAGUUUCAAAACUCCUCAGUGAUCCACCCAAAAGCAGUCCAUUCUCCAGCCCUGUAGCCAGUCAUUCAUCUCCUUUGUGGCAGCCCACUUUUGAAACAUCUUCAGAUUCAGAGUUUGUUGAGUCCGAAAGAGAAAUUUUUUCUGACCCGACAGAGAAGAGUAAGGUGAUGGAACUUUUUAAGAGAUGUCAACUCUGUGGUGAAGGAAUUAUAAGAGCAGUUCCAUUCUAUAAAGGCGCCCAGAUAGUGGUAGGCUGGCAAUGUGUCAAGGGUCAUAGUGGCAGUUGGUAUGGGGGACCUCAAGUGAGAAGGAUGCCAUUAAUUAAUCUGAUUUUAUCAGCUGGUAUUCUUUUCAGUGGUAAUACAUUCAGUGGUAUAUCAAGAUAUACUGCAUCAAUUGAUUUAAAAUUCUUCAAACCCUUAACCUAUAAUACAUUGCAAAAUACCUAUCUGUUACCAGUAGUAGACCGAGUAUAAUACACAAGACAACAAAAUGGAAUUUUG
Molecule: long non-coding RNA, 1104 nt
Organism: Patella vulgata (common limpet)
Lineage: Eukaryota; Metazoa; Mollusca; Gastropoda; Patellidae
Exons: 4
Source: RefSeq, a predicted model, not a curated record